GGGGGGAGGCCGGAUCCUGGGCUGUGUCCCAGGUGCCCUGUGUUUCGGGGCCUGCACUGUUGGAUUCGCGUUCUGGCCGCGCAGCUGCCU
This 90-nucleotide microRNA precursor is filed under the name Canis lupus familiaris (dog). RNAcentral's name for it is "mir-8799 microRNA precursor family". It matches the Rfam family "mir-8799 microRNA precursor family". The record is from Rfam by way of RNAcentral. RNAcentral also lists the same sequence under 1 other name. Lineage: Eukaryota; Metazoa; Chordata; Mammalia; Carnivora; Canidae.